GAAGAAUAUGCAAAAGAUCCUACCCCAACCAGUAGAUGGAACUACAUUUCCGUACCCUGAAAGACAUAACUGUAGCAUUGCUCGCGAAAAAGACCGCUUGUAGAACGCUCCAUCUUUCAGUGGGUAUCGGCGGCAGCUCUGCUGGUCCCCGAUCCUCUUGAUCGAUCGUGUCUGCUACGAAACUUAUCAACAAACCACCCUGCGCUGCUUCUUGCACAGCCUCUUCGUAUUCUUGUAAUUUCACGCUGACCUGCAAUCAUCUUCUGCCAUCGUACACCUUUCAACUUUCGACACGUUUUAAAUCUGUUUAAACGAUUUCAAGAACAAUGUUCGUUUCGCGAAUACUGUCCGCGUUUUCUCGACUUACCAGAGUGUGCAAGUUCGAGACGUCGGAGUUAUUGGAAAUGGAGUCGACGAACGAGCGUCUCAAGGUGCGCAAAUUGGCGCGCAGACUUUCCAAACGCGCCUGUUCCGCCGGAAGCUCGAUAUGCCGAAAAACCUGACAGCGGGGGCAACAGUCACUAACGACAUAGCAGCUUCGAAUCUACUUGUACAGCGUCGAUACCAAGAACGUUAACAUCUCGUGAUCAGGAAAUAUAAUACGAAAUAUGCUAAUCCUAAUUUAUCUGAUAAAAUUGUACUCGAGCGCACUUGCGAACUUGGCGAAUCUCGAGUGGGCGUCUCGACGCCUGUUUACCAUCGAUACUCGACCGUAUUUACCAAACGCAUGUCCGGUUUACGUUUCGAUAGCGUCGUUAAUCAUUCCCUCUGAAGUUGAAUUUAGAAAAAAAAAACACGAAUCGUAGAGCGAAUGAUUUGCCUUGUAUUAUUAUAACUUUCACAUCAAAUAAUAUAAUAUAUUAUUUUCAAGCGUAAAGAAUAACAAAACAUUAAAUAUAAUGUACUGCGGUCGUUUUGGUGAUAUCGCAUCCUACGAUAGUGUCACUAUGUGUUUCUAAUAGCGCUAUUGGAUGUAUUUAAUAAUGACGUGUUGCGAUCAAACGAACAGAUCGAGAAUUGAAAAUAAAAAUGUUAUUCGUAAACGUUCGACAGAGUAUGGUAGAUAGCAAUCGCAACCGAGCGUACGAUUGGUCCAUUGCUAAAAAUAAAGACACCGAUUGGUAAUCCAGACACACGUUGUUAUUUCUAUAAAUAUUACGUUCCCCGUAAACUCUGGUAACCAAACAAUUAGAGACGCGAACGUUCGUGGGCCGCCCGGAGGAAUACCGAUCAAGACAUCGUCGUCGAUGUUUGUCUGUAUAUUUUCGAAUCUUCGAUAGGACGUAAGCUGCGCGUUCCUCGGUAGCGACCACUUGUAUUCCUAAUUUAACGACAUUGUACUUUCGCCAUAAUGCAUAGUGGGGCAAAAUCCGAGAGAGCUAGCGAAAAUUAAACAAACAGAUUCUGAAAAUCGAGGAUUCUCGUUUGGGGUGCGCCACUUAAGAGUUUCCUUCGUCAAGGUCAUGCGCAAUUAUUACGUAAAGCGAGUGUUACGAGUACUAUUUUCAUUACGUUCAAACAUUUUUGACAUAUAGCAUCUAAUCUUCAUAUAUUUCUUUUCGGUCUACUAGUA
This is a long non-coding RNA of Hylaeus anthracinus, 1573 nucleotides long. RefSeq lists it as uncharacterized. NCBI's taxonomy places the organism in Eukaryota, Metazoa, Arthropoda, Insecta, Hymenoptera, Colletidae. The transcript is spliced from 2 exons. The record is from RefSeq and is a predicted model, not a curated record.